UUAGGUAGCGCCUCGUGAAUUCAUCUCCGGGGGUAGAGCACUGUUUCGGCAAGGGGGUCAUCCCGACUUACCAACCCGAUGCAAACUGCGAAUACCGGAGAAUGUUAUCACGGGAGACACACGGCGGGUGCUAACGUCCGUCGUGAAGAGGGAAACAACCCAGACCGCCAGCUAAGGUCCCAAAGUCAUGGUUAAGUGGGAAACGAUGUGGGAAGGCCCAGACAGCCAGGAUGUUGGCUUAGAAGCAGCCAUCAUUUAAAGAAAGCGUAAUAGCUCACUGGUCGAGUCGGCCUGCGCGGAAGAUGUAACGGGGCUAAACCAUG
Molecule: ribosomal RNA, 323 nt
Filed under: Escherichia coli
Lineage: Bacteria; Pseudomonadati; Pseudomonadota; Gammaproteobacteria; Enterobacterales; Enterobacteriaceae
Description: partial 23S ribosomal RNA
Rfam family: Bacterial large subunit ribosomal RNA
Source: RNAcentral